AAAAAGACAAACCCUGGUUUCCAUGCCCAACGUUUGACCGUCCGUCUUAUUUAAAAAAAUUAAAAAGACAAGUUACGUAUAAAAUAUUAAUCAUGUUUUAUCAUCUAACAAAAAUAAAAAUACGAAUUAUAAAAAAUUUUAUAUAAGACGGAUAAUCAAAGUUGGAUACGGAAAUCUAGGGUUUGUCUUUUU
This 192-nucleotide microRNA precursor is filed under the name Oryza glumipatula. Its description in RNAcentral is "MIR812 microRNA precursor family". It matches the Rfam family "MIR812 microRNA precursor family". The record is from Rfam by way of RNAcentral. Lineage: Eukaryota; Viridiplantae; Streptophyta; Magnoliopsida; Poales; Poaceae.